AGUGAUGAAGGCCCUCGGGUUGUAAAGCUCUUUCAUCGGUGAAGAUAAUGACGGUACCCGUAGAAGAAGCCCCGGCUAACUUCGUGCCAGCAGCCGCGGUAAUACGAAGGGGGCAAGCGUUGUUCGGAAUUACUGGGCGUAAAGCGCGCGUAGGCGGUUAUUUAAGUCAGGGGUGAAAUCCCGGGGCUCAACCCGGGAACUGCCUUUGAUACUGGGUAUCUUGAGUUCGGCAGAGGUGAGUGGAAUUCCGAGUGUAGCGGUGAAAUUCGUAGAUAUUCGGAGGAACACCAGUGGCGAAGGCGGCUCACUGGCUCGAUACUGACGCUGAGCACG
This 333-nucleotide ribosomal RNA is filed under the name uncultured bacterium. Its description in RNAcentral is "bacterial SSU rRNA". It matches the Rfam family "Bacterial small subunit ribosomal RNA", at positions 404 to 755 of the family's 1533-position model. The record is from RNAcentral.